GACGAACGCUGGCGGCGUGCUUAACACAUGCAAGUCGAACGGAAAGGCCCUGCUUUUGUGGGGUGCUCGAGUGGCGAACGGGUGAGUAACACGUGAGUAACCUGCCCUUGACUUUGGGAUAACUUCAGGAAACUGGGGCUCAUACCGGAUAGGAGCUCCUGCUGCAUGGGGGGGGUUGGAAAGUUUCGGCGGUUGGGGAUGGACUCGCAGCUUAUCAGCUUGUUGGUGGGGUAGUGGCGUACCAAGGCUUUGACGGGUAGCCGGCCUGGGAGGGUGAACGGCCACCAUAGGACUGAGAUACGGACCAGACUCCUACGGGACGCAGCAGUGGAGAAUAUUGCAGAAUGGGCGGAAGCCUGAUGCAGCAACGCCGCGUGCGGGAUGACGGCCUUCGGGUUGUAAACCGCUUUCGCCUGUGACGAAGCGUGCGUGACGGUAAUGGGUAAAGAAGCACCGGCUAACUACGUG
This 468-nucleotide ribosomal RNA is filed under the name uncultured bacterium. Its description in RNAcentral is "partial 16S ribosomal RNA". It matches the Rfam family "Bacterial small subunit ribosomal RNA", at positions 28 to 507 of the family's 1533-position model. The record is from RNAcentral.